GGACCCACGUAGCUCAGGGGAAGAGCACCUGCCUUGCAUGCAGAAGCUCACAGGUUCAGUCCCCGCUGGCAUCUCCA
Non-coding RNA from Podarcis lilfordi (Lilford's wall lizard), 77 nucleotides. The record is from the annotation of a GenBank genome assembly. Lineage: Eukaryota; Metazoa; Chordata; Lepidosauria; Squamata; Lacertidae.